ACCAUCAGCAACAGGUACAACAUGAGUAGCCCCAUCUCCAACAUCCACCACAACCCCUGUCAUCUCACACUUGGAUGCUGUGUAACCAGCUGCUAGAGCAAGCACCGAAUUGACCGCAAUAUAAAGCCCAGGAACAUUAAACGUCUCGAACAUAAUCUCACCGGUGUACUCGCGACUCUCCGGUGCAGUAAGUGGGCUCUCGGUCAAAAGAAAGUAAUGAUCCUCUGGAUCGCAUCGCAAAUAAUUGAAUACACACUCCUGCCAGUACCUUUCCAUGGCGUCCCAAUUGUCAACCUGACCAUGUUUGAUUGGAUAGCUAAGAUUAUAAGUAUUACUCGAUCUGGAUUUGACAAAAGCCUCUUCUCCAAUAAAGAAGUCUAGAUCGGCCAUAACCCCAGCGCUAUGCUGCGCAAGCCAAUUCGCUUUAGAAGUUCUAGAUUGAUUAAGAAAAGAAUCGUUAACAGCAACUACAGUUGGUAAAAUAAAACACGGCUCUACAUUUCCCGCAAAACCCAUUUUAGUAUACCCGGUGCCAUUGUCGAUGACGACAGCAGGGCGAGAGGUGGGGUCCAUGGGAAUGGGAGAGGAAGAGGAAGAGAAAACGGUGGUGGAGGAAUUGAAGAAGGAUCUGCGAGGGAGAUCC
This 643-nucleotide unclassified non-coding RNA is filed under the name Hevea brasiliensis (rubber tree). Lineage: Eukaryota; Viridiplantae; Streptophyta; Magnoliopsida; Malpighiales; Euphorbiaceae. The record is from RNAcentral.